This 433-nucleotide ribosomal RNA is filed under the name uncultured bacterium. RNAcentral's name for it is "partial 16S ribosomal RNA". It matches the Rfam family "Bacterial small subunit ribosomal RNA", at positions 31 to 507 of the family's 1533-position model. The record is from RNAcentral.
AGAGAAAGAGGGAGGCAGGCCUAACACAUGCAAGUCGAACGAACUCUUCGGAGUUAGUGGCGGACGGGUGAGUAACACGUGGGAACGUGCCUUUAGGUUCGGAAUAACUCAGGGAAACUUGUGCUAAUACCGAAUGUGCCCUUCGGGGGAAAGAUUUAUCGCCUUUAGAGCGGCCCGCGUCUGAUUAGCUAGUUGGUGAGGUAAAGGCUCACCAAGGCGACGAUCAGUAGCUGGUCUGAGAGGAUGAUCAGCCACAUUGGGACUGAGACACGGCCCAAACUCCUACGGGAGGCAGCAGUGGGGAAUCUUGCGCAAUGGGCGAAAGCCUGACGCAGCCAUGCCGCGUGAAUGAUGAAGGUCUUAGGAUUGUAAAAUUCUUUCACCGGGGACGAUAAUGACGGUACCCGGAGAAGAAGCCCCGGCUAACUUCGUG